Molecule: ribosomal RNA, 257 nt
Filed under: uncultured bacterium
Lineage: Bacteria
Description: partial 16S ribosomal RNA
Rfam family: Bacterial small subunit ribosomal RNA
Source: RNAcentral
UACGUAGGGCGCAAGCGUUGUCCGGAAUUAUUGGGCGUAAAGAGCUCGUAGGCGGUUUGUCGCGUCUGCUGUGAAAACUCGAGGCUCAACCUCGGGCUUGCAGUGGGUACGGGCAGACUAGAGUGCGGUAGGGGUGACUGGAAUUCCUGGUGUAGCGGUGGAAUGCGCAGAUAUCAGGAGGAACACCGAUGGCGAAGGCAGGUCACUGGGCCGCAACUGACGCUGGAGGAGCGGAAAAGCCAUGGGGAGCGAACAGG